AUGACACAGGAACAAGUGUGGCGGGCACCAGGGGCAAAAGCGACGUGGCAGGGCUGACCAGACUUUGAAGAUCUCUAGUUCCCCGGACUUCCCACCCUACACCCCACUUACUGCCCUUAAGCACCCUCCUCGGCCCCACUUUGAAAGGUUGGCCAAUUCCAGGGCUGGAGUCACCUUUAAGUGCAAGGGGGCCUCCCGAAUACGCAGCUGCGACUUAGGGGAUCCGUCGUUACUGGAAACGAAGGCCUCUCGCGUAGCCUGCUUCAGCCCGUCCAACUCCGGGCUGCCCAGGCGCCAUCCCCUUGGGUCCGGGACCAGGACCCUGCAGCAAACGGCCGCAGAGAUAUAAAUGAGUAAGAUGCAAUUCUGAUAUCCUUGUCAAAACUGAAAUCCAGAGAGAGGAGUCAGAUGAUUAUUCAAGCAGCUCUGAUACUUGGCAGAGGAAGGCAGAGAUCACAGCAGAUGCUGUUUCGACAUUCUGGUGCCAUGUGUUUUAGCGCACGUGUGCAUAUCUUUCCAUGCCUGCGAAUGGAAUGAAUUCACUAUCCUUUCUUCUGCUCGAGUACCUCCACUUACAGUUCCAGAAUUGGAACCUGGUACCUCAUUGCCUGCUAGGUAAAGCUCUACCACUGAGCUACAACCCCAGCCCCUGCUGUUGACUUUUAAGGAGAGAAUUUCCAUGCUGGAGGGAAGAGCACAAGGCAGGGAAUGCCAGGUGAUGUCUGGGAACUGAGGCCACCUUCCUGGUGACAGCCAGCAAGAAAGCAGGGACCUCGGUCUUAAAACCCUAAGGAGUUGAGUUCUGUCAACCACCGUGUAAAGAAGAGAGGACUUUGAACCUCAGAUGUGAUGGAAGACCUGGUGAGACCUGAGACGGGAACUCGGCUGUUCCAUGCCCAGCCUUCUGAUCUAUACAACUGUGACUGAAUAAAUGAGCACCACUUGCAGCUGCUGAGCUUCUGAGGAUCUGUUGUGCACCAGCAGAAAACUAAUAGAAAGUUAGUGCAUGAAGUUUAUCAUCGAAUUGUUCCCUUCUGUUGGUGAUGGUUUAGUUAGCUUUCGCUUCAAAACAAAUCGCCACCAAUUCAACCUCUUAAACUAGCACAUACUUAACAGUUUCUGCGGGUCAGGAUUCUGGGCAUUGAUUUCAUGAGCUCUCUGAUUCAAGGUUGCUUACAUGUCUGCAAACAAGAUUAUCAGACAGGACUUCCAGCAAGGAAGGUCAACAUGGGAAGGUCCACUUCCAACUUCACUUGAUGUUGUGGUUUGCAGGAUUCACUUUGUUUUGGUACUGUGGGUGAACCCAAGGGCA
Sciurus carolinensis (gray squirrel) is the source of this 1312-nucleotide long non-coding RNA. RefSeq lists it as uncharacterized. The transcript is spliced from 4 exons. NCBI's taxonomy places the organism in Eukaryota, Metazoa, Chordata, Mammalia, Rodentia, Sciuridae. The record is from RefSeq and is a predicted model, not a curated record.